This 382-nucleotide transfer-messenger RNA is filed under the name Clostridia. Its description in RNAcentral is "UBA1212 sp002309655 Standard tmRNA". It matches the Rfam family "transfer-messenger RNA". From Rfam's summary of the family: Bacterial tmRNA, also known as 10Sa RNA or SsrA, is named for its dual tRNA and mRNA-like properties. RNAcentral also lists the same sequence under 1 other name. Lineage: Bacteria; Bacillati; Bacillota. The record is from RNAcentral.
GGGGAUGUUCCGGUUUCGACGGGGUCGUCAGGAGUCAGACUGCAGGUAGAGGGCCCCGUUGGCCUCUUUAAAAAACGGGAAAUCUAAAUUUAAACGCAAACGAAGAUUUUGCACUUCAGGCUGCCUGAGCGCAGCUUGCGCCGCCCCGCGGGUCACUCAGUCCUUCGGCAAGCGGUGUCAGUAAUCUGAGCCCUGCGGGUUAAGGGUCAACUCCGCCUCCUUUCGCGGCGAUGCUUUUAAGCCGUGAAGGUAAACAAAAGCUACCGUGGUUCCGGGUCUGUCGCGGGACGCUCACCACGGGAAUUCUAAUCCGCGGCUAAACCUGUAGACGUUUGGGUCGGGGCGGUUUCGGACAGGAGUUCGAUUCUCCUCAUCUCCACCA